Molecule: ribosomal RNA, 250 nt
Filed under: Exserohilum rostratum
Lineage: Eukaryota; Fungi; Ascomycota; Dothideomycetes; Pleosporales; Pleosporaceae
Description: partial 5.8S ribosomal RNA
Rfam family: 5.8S ribosomal RNA (bases 60-209)
About the family: 5.8S ribosomal RNA (5.8S rRNA) is a component of the large subunit of the eukaryotic ribosome. It is transcribed by RNA polymerase I as part of the 45S precursor that also contains 18S and 28S rRNA.
Source: RNAcentral
CCAUAAACCUUUUUUUAUGCAGUUGCAAUCAGCGCCAGAAUAAUAAUUCAAUUUAUUAAAACUUUCAACAACGGAUCUCUUGGUUCUGGCAUCGAUGAAGAACGCAGCGAAAUGCGAUACGUAUGUGAAUUGCAAAAUUCACGAAUCAUCGAAUCUUUGAACGCACAUUGCGCCCUUUGGAUUUCAAGGGCAUGCCUGUUCCACCGCAUUCCACCCCCAAGUUCGGUGGGGUGGGCACCUAUUGGUCUCC